CGGGGGGGGCAAGCGUUGUUCGGAAUUACUGGGCGUAAAGGGCUCGUAGGCGGCCAACUAAGUCGGAUGUGAAAUCCCCAGGCUCAACCUGGGAACUGCAUCCGAUACUGGAUGGCUUGAAUUCGGGAGAGGGAUGCAGAAUUCCAGGUGUAGCGGUGAAAUGCGUAGAUAUCUGGAGGAAUACCGGUGGCGAAGGCGGCAUCCUGGACCGACAUUGACGCUGAGGAGCGAAAGCUAGGGGAGCAAACGGGAUUAGAUACCCCGGUAGUCCUAGCCCUAAACGAUGAAUGCUUGGUGUAACGGGUAUCGAUCCCUGUUGUGCCGAAGCUAACGCAUUAAGCAUUCCGCCUGGGGAGUACGGGUCGCAAGGCUG
Molecule: ribosomal RNA, 373 nt
Filed under: uncultured organism
Description: bacterial SSU rRNA
Rfam family: Bacterial small subunit ribosomal RNA
Source: RNAcentral